Molecule: long non-coding RNA, 1934 nt
Filed under: Megachile rotundata (alfalfa leafcutting bee)
Lineage: Eukaryota; Metazoa; Arthropoda; Insecta; Hymenoptera; Megachilidae
Description: uncharacterized LOC105663649, transcript variant X4
Source: RNAcentral
UAUCCACGGUGCACAGGUGGGGCUGAAACGGAUAACAGGAGCGGGCGCCGGAGGGGCGGAGGAGAGCCGCGAAGAAAGAGAAAGAAGAAGCCGGAGAAAGACGGCGACAGCUGGGAAUAGAAAGAAAAAAAUUACGGAGGAAAAGAGGAGAGACGGACGUCGACGUUGAAAAGGAUGCUGCGCGCUGUCGAUUACGACCAUGCGGGGAAAAGCGAGAAGCUGCGGAAUAAUCUGGGAACGAGAAGAAAAGGAAAAGUUGAAACGCCGAAAGAAAAAGAGUUAAAACGCGUGGAGCGUGAAAGAGAGCGUGUAUUCGGUAAGGAGCGAAGAGCGAGCAGACCGGAGCGCUGUGAAUGGAACACGUGUACGGUGUCGCAUCUAUCUGAAAAGUUCAUCGUUACAAAGAUCUCUCGAAAAGAAUUUCCUGGAAUGCGAGCUAUCUUCGGGACCAUGGUGGCGAGUGUGUAAUCGAAGGAAUCGUAGAGCACUUUUCUCAUGCAAAUACCCUCGGAUGCGAGAGAAGGGACAACCAACUUCUUCUUUGGUCCGCUUAAAACUUCGAACUUGGGUAUCCUUUUAAAUUUAAAUGCUUUCCCCCAGCUCGAGCGCAUCCGUGCCCCUGAGUUCCUCUUUCGAACGACAUCGUCGCCUCGCCUCGCCUCGAUGUCGCCUCGAUGUCGCCUCGAUAUUAAGAAAAAUACUAAAAUCUACUUGUUCCUCGCGUAUUCUAUGCACAGGUAAACCGACAUUUCCUCUAAUAUCCUUUUCGAUUAUUACGUUCCACUGUUCCAGAUACGUUUUCGAGUCUCGCGGCCAAUCGAAUUUGUAGAGCUUUCGCUCGUAACGAGUCGACGCGAUACGUCCGCGUCCGUCGAAAACUACAGCAGCUUUACCAGCUAUAGCAGCGGGAAACGACGAGAAAUAUUAAUAAUAGCUGAUUCGAGCAUUUCGGGAUUCUAACAACGGAUUAUCCUAGUUUUCCACGCUGACGCCGGGGCCUUCUAUAAAAUGUGGCGAAAUUUCGAUAUCGAUAAUGAGUACGUACAUAAAUAUCAGUUUGUAGCGCACGUAACGAAACACACUGCAUAUUUCAACGCGAAUGGGAAAAUAUUUUCCAGAGAAGCGUUAAAAAUUCAAUCUUUCGAGUAACAAAAUGCUGGGGAAUUUCCAUAACUGGCGCCAUUGUUUUUGCAGGAAACGUUACGGUGGUCAUAAAAGGACGUUCGUUCGAUCCGGCAAUUAUUGAAACGAAUAAAAUUUUCACUCUGUACGUAAUAAUAAGCGGGCGCACGAAUAUACCGCAAUAAUUACGAGAACGUGCACCGGAAUCGUUGCGAUCCAAAUGUAUCAAAAAUUAUUAUUUCCCGGGCGACGUUCAAUGACCAGAAAAAUAUUUGCCUAUAACGAGACGCGUCGUCGAGCCGGGGACAGGAUACGAUCGCAAUUUGAAAUUCGAAUUAUUAUAAUUAUGGGUUGGUCCGUUAAAAAUCAGAAGACAAAGAGAGAAAAGCGGUAACCACCGCUAUCCAAUGAUACAAUUAAUAAAGAGUUACAUGGUAGAAUGCGUCUACGAGAUGAGCUUGUUAAAUCGAAAAUUUUCAUGCGCAUUAAAUUAAGAAUCGAUCGUACGCGUUAUUACGAUACUAACGCAACUUGCCAAUAUUUCCCUCGUAUUAAACGAAGAAAAAAACAGGCGUAAUAAUCAUUCUCCGCGUUAAUAGAGUAUAAACGUUUCCUUUCUCGUCCUGCGGAGUGUUCUUAUCAAGAUUCUUCUCAACUUAUCAGGAUAGUUCCUUACGCGCAAGGAAGAUGAUCUGCGCCCGGAACGACUCGAAGAACGCUGCGAGAUCACCGGCAACGGCAACGGCAACGCGUCGGCUACCUAUUCGAUGUAUACGAUAUUUCUUCGCGACUUGUCAAUAAAACGUUUACGA